RNAcentral lists this ribosomal RNA (406 nucleotides) under uncultured bacterium. RNAcentral describes it as "partial 16S ribosomal RNA". It matches the Rfam family "Bacterial small subunit ribosomal RNA", at positions 30 to 526 of the family's 1533-position model. The record is from RNAcentral.
AUUGAACGCUGGCGGCAGGCCUAACACAUGCAAGUCGAACGAGUGGCGGACGGGUGAGUAAUGUCUGGGAAACUGCCUGACGGAGGGGUCUAACUACUGGAAACGGUAGCUACUACUGCAUACCAUCAGAUGUGCCCAGUUGGGAUUAGCUAUGUGGUGGGGUAACGGCUCACCAAGGCGACGAUCCUGAGCUGGUCUGAGAGGCUGACCGGCCACACUGGAACUGAGACACGGUCCAGACUCCUACGGGAGGCAGCAGUGGGGAAUAUUGCACAAUGGGCGCAAGCCUGAUGCAGCCAUGCCGCGUGUAUGAAGAAGGCCUUCGGGUUGUAAAGUACUUUCAGCGGGGAGGCGUUACCCGCAGAAGAAGCACCGGCUAACUCCGUGCCAGCAGCCGCGGUAAUAC